This 1766-nucleotide long non-coding RNA is filed under the name Homo sapiens (human). RNAcentral describes it as "LHRI_LNC590.2". Lineage: Eukaryota; Metazoa; Chordata; Mammalia; Primates; Hominidae. The record is from RNAcentral.
AGAAGCUUGACAAGAGGCAUGGAGCAGAUGCUUCCUCACAGCCCUCAGAAGGAACCAACCCGCCAACCCCUUGAUCUCAGAUUUCUGGCCUCCAGAACCGCGAGACAGCAGAUUUCCAUGGCUUGAGCCGCCCGGUUUGUAGUACUUCAUUAUGGCAGCUCCAGCAAACAAAUACAGAUUUAUGACCUCGUCUACCCGACGAGGAUGCCUGGCCCAAGCUGGCAUACUAAGAGUUUUCCUGGAACUUGGGAACUGGGACAAAGAGGGACUAAGCCAGCAAGACCGAAAAGCAUGGCAGUCCCAGGACAGCCAUGAAAACCAUAUGUGAAUUAAUGAGUGAGCAGAUUGGAGCAGCAUUGUUUUGGACCCUAAGGACGUCACGUACAAAAUGCACUUAAAUCCUUGCCUCCUGGAGCUGAUGAUAAAGAAGAUGGACAAGUAAAACAUAUGGAAUGUGAAAUGGUGAUAAGAGUGAUGGAGAAAAUAAAACAGGAGAGGAGGUUGGAAUUGCCAGGCUUCAGAUUCAGCUUCUGUUUCCUGAGUGCCUCCACUAUACCAGCCAUUGGGCCAGGCAUCCAGAAGCCCUAAGGUAGACCUCAUCAUCCCUGUUCUACAGGAGAGGAAAACCAAGACUUGGCUACUACAGUAUACAAAGGGUGUGGAAAAGUCCUCCUAGAACCCUUACCCUGCUUCCAGGAGGAGCUGGACAGUUCUUUCCAAGUCCAGGCAGAAAGAAGUCUCCUCUUUUUCCAUUCUCUUUGUUACUUUAUAUGUCUGUGCAGGCUUGGUUGAGGAAGAAGGGGGGCCAGAAGGAAGUCUGGCCAGAUGGCAGGGUAAUAAAUGACUCUGACUUAAUAAUUUGUUGCUCUCCUCUUAAUUAAAAGGCUUUUCCCUAAAUGAUUUGCUGAUCACACAAACAGCACACACUAGUUGGGCGAGGACUGGGGGCCCAGGGAAAUCUAGACUGAGAGGAGAAGGCAUUGGAAUAAAGAGGUGGCAGAUGGCAGAAGAAGCCCACCCUCCAUGUCCCAGGGUGGGCCCAGCUUCAGGAGCUCCCUCCUCCUCAGGUCUGAAACAAUUCAAUCCAAUGAUAGAGCUUUGGGGGACUGGUUCUUCUUUCAGGCCUCAGCUUUUCUGGAAGCUGACUUUGCCAGGGGGCUUUUUAAUUUCUGGGAUGAAGAUAUAAGCUUUAUUUUAUCUAACACGUGGCUUUGCAUUCAGUUUCCUCAAAGCCCCAUGUGGCCUUGGGGGGUGAUCAGGUAGCCUUUGGACCAUUUUGCAUAUAAACUGUCACUUAUACACUUGAUCAACUGGGGUGGUGGUCAUAGAGGGGGACAGGGCACCCAUUGUUCCAAGCAGCGUCCUGUCAAUAUCUGCAGUUGCAAGCAAAUGACACUAGAUAGUGUCAAUGGAUAAGCUCUCUAUUGCAUCUUUACAACUGCAAUUUAUAAGUUCCUGGGAUUAAAAUCUGCUUUCCAGCAAUUAUCACACAGAGGUAUAUUUUCAAAGCCUCACAUGUAAUUAGAACAUGUUAUUGAUAAAGUGCUAGCUAAAGAUUUAGACUUUGAGUCUGUUCAUGAGGGAUCAGUUUUGUUAAUAUUGAUAAUGUUUUCCCCCUUUAAUGCAGUUAGGAGUUAGAUUGAGAUGCCAAAUUCAAUCAAAAUGCACAUCUUAUCCCCCGCCAAGGGACUUCUGGCUCUCUUUUACUUGUUCAGACUUGUAGAAAGGACCCCAGAGAUCGUGUCAUAUAGGAAAACAUCCUGCCA